GCUGCCUCCUUCCACGGGCACUCGUGGAGCCGUGCGCCAGCCCAAGAGACACUGGGGAAGUUACUGGCCUGGGUGAAAGACAUGGAGGAGCUCAUGGCCGGCCAGAAACCUCCUUCCUCUGAGGCCAAGGUGGCGAGAGCUCAACUCCAAGAGCAGAAGGUGAGUUUUGCUCCUGCUGGCGGGAGGCCGGCUUUGGCCCUUGGCCCUUGGGAAUGACCCUCCCUCAAGUCAGGCCUGCUGCCCAGUUCCUGUGUGGGCACAGCGGUGAGGGCAGAAAUGGGUGGACAUGGGCCAAGAUGCACCACGCUCUCCCAGAGAACCCUGCCAGGGCCAAAGAUGGCGGGGGGGGCAUUCCUGAUGAGCCUCUAGGCACCUCUGUGCCUUGGCACACCUUGGGGCUCGGGAGGAAGGGCGGCUGGCGUGGGCCAGUGAACCGCCCCUUCUUCCCGGGGUUCUUGAGCACCUCCAGGGCACCGUCCUUAGGGGGAAAACCUUAUCUGAAACAAGAAACAGAACAGAUUGCUUAGUUCAGUGGUUAUAAAAAGAGACAAGAGUCCAAUCGUCAGAAGUACCCGAGGAAGGGGACUGCCGUCCACAAAAGCUCAGUGCAGAAGCUGUGGUGUAGGAAGUGCGGGAAGUAAUAAAGUACCCCGAGCAACUGGUUGGCACAAGAAAGAAAGAAGGAGGGAGAAAGAAAGAAAGAAAGGAAAGGGAGAGGGAGAGAGAAAGCUAAGCUAAGCUAUGGUAGCUCUUUCAAGCCAAAGCUUUAAAGCCAAGCUAAGGCUGAAGAGCGAUCCGGGCGCUGCCCUCUCUGGCCGUGGCGCUUCAGCCAGCCUCCAGAUCAGUGACCCUCGGAAGCAUUCCGCAUGGCCAUGGGGCAGAAGGCUCUGGGUCAUGGCCGGGAAUCCUCCUGGCACCGCUCACCUGCCGCCCUACAGCUUCUCCGGCGCCUCCUGGACGAGCGGAGACCCCUCGUGGAGCACCUCCUGCAGGGGAGGCAGCAGAACCCCCCGGAGCCUUCCCUGGCCAAGGAGGGGUGGGAGACGAACCUCUCCAGCCUUCAGGAGACGUGGGCGACCCUCAUCCAGAGAGCCGAAGGCAGGCACCGCUCCUUGGAGAAGAUCCUUCCCACGGCCUGCACCUUCCAGGAAUCAGUGGACGCUUUCCAGGACUGGCUGGGCUCCACCGAGAGGAAACUGGCCCAGCUCUGGCGAGCCAACGGGAAUCUGAACCCCACCCAGGAGGCCCAUCAGCAAAUCCAGGUGCAGCGUUGGGUGGCUGGGGAGGGGGGAACGGGCCCUUUACGCUGCACUUGGGGGGGUGGCAUAGGGGUGCUUUGUGUCAGGGUUGAGGGGGACCCAUCCGAUACCCCCGGGGAGCCCUUGCUCCUCGCCUGACAUGGAAAUGGUGCAGCAAAGGGUCAGGAGAGUGGCCGGCUGUGUACCGUGCAGCCCAUCUGGGGGGAGGGAAUGCCAGGACAGACCCCCCCUCUCACCAUGGGAAGACACCACCCCACUGGCCAAGCCCAUGGCCGAGGCAGCGCCCCCUGAAUGGCCAUCAUCUUCCGCGGGGCUGGGAGAUGGACCCCUCGGGGGGGGCGGGGCCAAGGGUCCAGACAGGCAAGGCUUCUGCAAAAUGGCUUGGCUCAAGGGGAGUAGGAGCUCCGCGCUUUGGCCAGGGGGGCAUGCUAUAGUGGGGAGAGAGAGAGAGAGAGACUGCUCUUUAACACUUAAAAUGGCUGCCUUCCAUCUAGGGUCUGUGUGAGGAAAUCCGCGCCAAGACGGCUGAACUGGAAGGCGCCCUGGGACACGGACAGCGGCUGAUGGAGAUGGUGCCAGGCAAGUGGCCGAGGCCCAGCCGAGGAGGCUCAGGGCAGUCGCCGCCAGCCAGUGGGGAAGGCCGGCUGGGGAACCGGUGGAGAGGGCCUGCUGCGGUGCCGGGGCGGGAGGACGCCCCCUGUGCCCCCGAGGCCUUCCUCUCUCGCUGGUCCUUCUCGGCUGCAGCUUCCCUCGGGCGCACCUGGGCAUGGGAUGGGGAUAGCCUAGGGUCGGCUUCCGGGCGAUGGGUCGGUUCCGAAGGCAGGUCGGGCCGGGGGCCCUGCCGCCCACCUCCCCCCAUCCCGUGGGGCUGAGCCGACGCUGACCUCUGGUCCCGCCCGUAGAGGAAGAGGCCCACCUGGCCCAGGAGAAGAUGGACUCCGUCCGGAUGCGGUUCCUGAUCGUGGGCCAGAGCAGUGCCGACAUCCUGCAGCGCUUGGAGCAGGCCAGGGAGGCCUCCGCCCGCCUGGACGCCACCCAGGAGGACUUGGCCCUCUGGCUGGCCCGCCUGGAGAAGGAGCUGCUCCCGGAGGGCGGCUGGCCAGAAGGUGGCCUCGGCCCCGUCACGGCUGCAGAUGUG
This is a long non-coding RNA of Pogona vitticeps (central bearded dragon), 2397 nucleotides long. NCBI's taxonomy places the organism in Eukaryota, Metazoa, Chordata, Lepidosauria, Squamata, Agamidae. The record is from Ensembl.